ACGGGAGGCAGCAGUGAGGAAUAUUGGACAAUGGAGGCAACUCUGAUCCAGCCAAACCGCGUGAAGGAAGACGGUCCUAUGGAUUGUAAACUUCUUUUGUAAGGGGAUAAACCUAGAUAUGUAUAUCUAGCUGAAGGUACCUUACGAAUAAGCAUCGGCUAACUCCGUGCCAGCAGCCGCGGUAAUACGGAGGAUGCAGGCGUUAUCCGGAUUUAUUAGGUUUAAAGGGUGCGCAGGCGGGACACUAAGUCGGCGGUGAAAUCUCAUGGCCCAACCAUGAAACUGCCAUCGAUACUGGUGACCUUGAGUACGAAUGAGGAAGGCGGAAUGAGUCGUGUAGCGGUGAAAUGCUUAGAUAUGACUCAGAACACCAAUUGCGAAGGCAGCUUUCCAAAACGCAACUGACGCUCAUGCACGAAAGCGUGGGUAGCGAACAGGAUUAGAUACCCUGGUA
RNAcentral lists this ribosomal RNA (454 nucleotides) under uncultured Chryseobacterium sp. RNAcentral describes it as "partial 16S ribosomal RNA". It matches the Rfam family "Bacterial small subunit ribosomal RNA", at positions 341 to 792 of the family's 1533-position model. Lineage: Bacteria; Pseudomonadati; Bacteroidota; Flavobacteriia; Flavobacteriales; Weeksellaceae. The record is from RNAcentral.